This is a long non-coding RNA of Callithrix jacchus (white-tufted-ear marmoset), 5266 nucleotides long. NCBI's taxonomy places the organism in Eukaryota, Metazoa, Chordata, Mammalia, Primates, Cebidae. The record is from Ensembl.
AUGAGCCACGCAUGCUUCAUUACUUCCAAUUCUUUUCUUUACAACAAAGAAGUUAACAAUGGGUCUGAAGUCAGCCAUUGUCUCAAGAAGCCCAGGAUUAAGAUCUGGGCUAGCAUGCUUAUUGCUACAAGACUGUCAUUACUUGUGCGACUUUUCUGGUUUUUUUUUUUUUUCUAUUUUUUCUUUUUGAGACAGAGUCUUGCUCUGUCACCCAGGCUGGAGUGUGCAAUGGGACGAUCUCGGCUCACUGCAACCUCUGCCUCCUGGGUUUAAGUGAUUCUCCUGCCUCAGUCUCUUGAGUAGCCAAAAUUACAGGUGCAUGCCACCAGGUCUGGCUAGUUUAUAUUUUUAGUAGAAACGAAGUUUUGCCAUGUUGGACAGACUGGUCUUGAAGUCCUGAUCCACCCACCCUCCCAAAGUGAUGGGAUUACAGGUGUGAGCCACUGUGCUGGGCUUUUGGUAACUUUUCAACAGAAUAGGUAGGGGUGUGUGUGUGUGUGUUUAAUUUCUAUGAAUAGUUACAUUUCAAAUUUAAUAUUGGAUUUUCUUAACUUUUAGGACAUAUAUAUAUAUAUAUAUAUAUAUAUAUAUAUAUAUAUCCUAAAAAUAUAUGUAAUCUUUAUGAUGAAUGUCUGAAAGUCUUAGUGUCUAAUAGCAUUAAUUUGUUUAAUUGCAUUUUUCUAUGAUAUGCAUAAAAUAGUUUCUAAAUUAAAACACCAAUAUUGUAUCUAAAUCAAGUUCAAGAUUUCUCUGCCAGUUGCUAUUUUUCUCUUCAGACUACAUCCCACUUAGGAGGUAUAGCCAGAGUAUUGUGCUUAAAAGCCCAAAAGUCACUUGAAAUAUUUUUUUUUUUGCAUGGUUAGGUUACUGAUUUGAGUACAUGAACAGUUAGAUUCAUUUUCAGUUUUGGGGUUUGCCUCUUUAUCUAAGUAUAUGGUUUGAUUGUAUAAAAAGAUUUGCAUGGUUCUAAAGUCUACAUAUAUAUAUGAUGGUAUGCAUAGAAAUUCUCACUUCAUUUUUAUAUCUCUAUAUUUCUCUCAGCUUCACAUAGAUAACAAUUUUAGUUAAUUUCUGUUUUAUCUUUUCAGUGUUUUCUUUUGUAAAAAUAAGCAAACAACUCUUCAUGGGGUACCAAUUCUUCUGCACUUUGAGGUUGUACAUACAUUUAUGAAUGGUAGGGUUCUAUAUCUGGAGGCUAGGAACCACAGGGCGGAAGUCAAGAGUCACCAGAUAUAUGUGUGGCAUGAGAGAUAAAGCAUGUACAGCAGGCAAGAAUCUGAAAAGUUCUGGCUCCAGGUGACAUAAGUCCAAGGGCACCCACUGCCACAGACACUAGCUAUUGCUAGUGUCACUGGGGUCAAGAGGUAAGUCACAAAAUUCAAUCCAUUACCAAUCUCAAAAAUCUUCAGCAUAAACAACAUAAGCUCUUUUCCUGUUCAUGUUGCUGCUUCAAUAACAUUGCCUAUAGUCCUUGCUCACAUAGUGUUUAUAGUUUAGUGCCAGUAACAGAGUUAAGUAAUCACAUGAAUGAUUGAACCAUGGCAAACAAAUAACUACACUAAGCAUGAUUCCAUAGUCUGCAAAAGCGUAAGACAAAAAAAGCAACCAACCAGACAAACAAUAUAAACCUGACUUGCACUGGGGUCCUCUGAGAAGUAUUUGCUGAGAAACAGGCAGGAACAGAGGUCAGUGGGGUGAUUCGGUGCAAGUUAUGUGAAAGUGGAGGCCGGAGAAGUAAGUGCUCUGGAAAGAAGGAACAAUAUGUUAUGAAGAGAUUGUGGUGAGUGUGAGAAAUGUAUACGACAGAAUUUUGAGAGAUGAAGAAUGGGACAGAAUAAUACUGGAAUCAGAUGAACAAGGUCAACAUCAACAGUGAUCAAUUAUAUUGCUAAAAUAUGAAGAAAAUGACAUUUUCCCACUGUAAUCUUUCCAAAUAUCUACAACCCCAGACUAAUUACGCAAAAAAUAUCACACAAAUUCAAAUUGAAAGAUGAUUUACAGAAGUCCCGACUCAUACGUCUCAAAACUGUCAAGAUCAUGAAAAACAAGGAACUUCUGAGCACCUGUCACAGUCAAGAGGAGCUUAAGAGAUGUGAUGACCAAAUAUAUGGUGGUUUGCUGAAUGGGAUCCUGGAAUAGUAAGAGGACACUAGGAAAAAAAUAAGGAAAUUAGAAUGUAAACUUUAGCUAAUAUUAUAUCAAUAUUAGUUUAUUAUAGCUAAUGCACCAUACUAAUGUAAUAUAUUAAAAAUAGGGGAAACUGGAUGUGGAGUACAUGGAAGCUAUGUACUGUUUUGGCAAUUUUUCUGUAAAUAUGAAACUGAACAAACAAUAAGUUUAUUUAAAAGUAUGCUGGAGACCUGGUGGUUGGGAGCUAGACCUUGCAGGACAUCAUAAACUGUUUAAAGUUUUAGCAGUUUUUUCUACUACACUCACUUUAAGAGCUGUGAUUUUCUUUUAAACAGAUAAACUAUGAUUACAUUUUACCUUAUGUAAAAUGUCACUGUGGCUGAGGUGCCAUCCACACUGAAUGGCAAGUGUGGAUUCAGGAAAUUCAGUUUUAAAGCUCUUUUAAUAGUCUUGGAAAGAGAAGAUGGUAACUUGAACAAGAAUCAAGCGUGGAGAGAGCAUGGCAUGAUCAGAUUUGGUAUCAAGUUUGUGGGUAAAAUUACAGCAUUGGUAAUUUGACCUCACUUGAAAUAAUAGAUUUGAGAGAAGAGGCAACACAUUUAAUCUUAUACCUUCCACUAAGCCAGAUCACAUUUUCUGGUCUAGAAGACUUACUGAGUUGAAAAGGAAGUUGUUUUUUUUUUUGGAAGCCUGAAGUCUUAUUUUCUGAUCUUUGGUGAGUAGAAGUAGUUGGCUUUUCCAGCUCCACAGGGCAAUAAGUUAAUAGCUUCUAGUUAAUGUAGAUUGUAGGCUGCAGGCAUAGGCAUCUAUAUAAUAUAGAUUAUAGGCUGCAGGCAUCAAUCCAUAGGCAAUUAUGGGUUGAUAAUUGACCAGUUUGGCUGCUGGCAAACUGGUCAAUUAUCAGUACAUCUCUGUGUUAUAGCAUCUUGUUAAAAAUAUCAGGGAACUGUCAACACACACAUUCUGGCUCUUUCCAAUGGCUUGUCUGCAUACUAUAGAUUCUGUGGAAAAGUUAUGUCCUUUCCAAGUUAGCUCAUGUCUGUUUUACAGAGUAUUUUACCAUAGCAUGACAAGGGUUAUCAGCUUCCAAACUUCAAAAUCUGUGUGUGUAAGAGUGGGUGUGUAUGUGAGUGUGUGUGUGUUUUGCCACUAAUUUCUUGAACACAAAGUGAAUGCCACAUAUUUCAAGUUAAAUAAGCAGCUCUCCUCCAUGUAAUCAUUCAUGGAUCCAGGUUCUCCAUUCUGUUGUUCCACCAUUCCUUAGAUUGCGUCGUCUUAGAUCUUCAUAGGCUUUUCAUCUACAGAAGGAGAAAGAGUUGAGAUCAUGGACUUUCCUUUUAAGAAAUUGGCAUGUAAGUUGCGCACAUCUCUUCUGAUCAUCACGUGUCCAGAGCAAGCUAUAAGGGAGGCUUUAGUGGCCAUAUGCCCAGCUAAAACUUGACUUCUAUUGAAGAAGUGGAGGAUGGAUUUUGUAAGCCAAAGGAGACUAAGAGGAGUCACUAAGGAACAUGAGGGUUAUGAAGAGAGUGUUGUCCUAGAAACCAAGGAGAAGAGGAUUUUGCAUGAAGAAAGAGAUGAUGGUUGCACUUUGGUUACAUUUAUCCAAAUGCCCCAUCCGACUCAUCAGUGUCCCUAGUAAAAUCUGGUUAUAGAGAUGAACACCAUUUUUCAGAUGAGGCCUGCUGAGUGUAGAGAGCUGUGUAAAAUUUUUCCCUUAAAUCGAAUACUAUGUUUUAACUAAUGCAGCCUAUGUUUCUUUAAGUAACAAGGCCAUCCCACUGACUCACACUGAGCUGGUUCUCAGAAAAAACUCCCUGCUUUUUCUCAUUUUAACUGCUGUAAAAACAAGUUGCUUCUAUCAUGCAUUCGAUUCAUUGAGUUAUGAAAAUAUGUAGGUAUUUUAUUUCUUUUAUGUAAAUUUAUGUUGGUUUUAGCCCAUAAUUUGAAGUCAAGAAGUCUUCCUGGAACUAGACUGUGUCUAUAUUAGUUGUCUUUUCCAUUUUGUGGUUUAUGGUAAAAUUAAUAAAAGAUCUUGCAAAUCAGUCACACAGCUGCCAUUUACUGUGUGCUUAUUGCUCAAUGCCUGUUUAGAUAGUGUAUUGGAGAACAGGCUGGCUGCCCUCUUAUUUAAUUUUUGAACAUUCUUAUAAGGUCACUUUGUUUGGUUUCUGGCCUGCCUAUUGUAUUAAUUACAUAAAAUAAAACACUUUGGGAAAAUAUUGUUAAUUUUUUACAGAAUUUUCCAACAUCAAUACUACUACUAUUAUUACAGCUACCAUACAACUCUCACCACUAUAAAAUUGCUGUUUUUAAGAAUUUGGAAAUUAUUUUAUUAUGGUGUGAUAUACAUACAUUAAAAUUCAUUCUCAUUUGUGCACAGUUCUAUUUGUUUUGACAAAUUCACACAAUCAUGUAACCACCACCACAAUCAAAAUAUAGAACGGUUUUAAUCACAAUUUCUUUAUGCUUUUUAUAGUCAAUACUUUCCCACCACCGCCCUGUCCCUAUCAUUUUGCCUUUUCCAGAAUGGAACAUAAAUUGAAUCAUAUCAUAUGUGACUUUUUGAGUCUAGAUUGUCCCAUGUAUGAUAAUGCGUUAAGAUUUGUCCAUGUUUCUGUGGACAAAUUAGUAGUCUAUUCCUUUAUGUUGCAGAGGAGUACCCAUUGUAUGCAGUUAUCACAGAUCUUUUAUCCAUUAUUUGGAGAACUUUGGGGUUGUAUUUAGUUUUGGACAGUUAUGAAUACAGUUUCUACAUUUUUAAUAUAAACAUCAGUUUUUAUUUCUUUUGGGUAAAUACUUAAGGGUGGGAUUACUGGAGUAUGUGGUAAAUCUAUGUUGGUUUAACCGUGUAAAAAACAACCAAACUGUUUUCCAAAGUAACCAUUCUGUUUUUCAGUCUCACAGCAUGUAGGAACAUUUUAGUUACUUUAUAUGCUUACCAGCACUUUAUAUGCUUACCAGUCUUUUGUCAAAUAUAUGAUUUGCAAAUAUUUUCUCCCAGUAUAUGGAUUUUCUUUUUCUUCUAUUAACAGUAUCUUUUGUAUAGGAGAAGUUCUUUUUUUUUAAUGAAGUCCAAUACAGUGACAUUUUCUUAUAUAAAUUGUACUUUUGGUGUUAUAUGUAAGAAAUCUUUGCC